RNAcentral lists this transfer RNA (38 nucleotides) under Phonognatha graeffei. RNAcentral describes it as "tRNA-Leu". Lineage: Eukaryota; Metazoa; Arthropoda; Arachnida; Araneae; Araneidae. The record is from RNAcentral.
AUUUAUAUGGCAGAUCAAUGCAUUAGAAUUAGAAUCUA